UCUCCGUUGGUGAACCAGCGGAGGGAUCAUUACAGGAUCGAAAGACUCCUAUAACCCCUGUGCACUUACUUCAAAUACGUUGCUUCGGCGGGUGCCCCGGGUCUCCCGGGGCGUUCAGCCCGCCGGCAGCCUUCAAAUUCUGUUUCUUUGCGUUGGCAUCUCGGGUAUACAAAAAUAAGUUAAAACUUUCAACAACGGAUCUCUUGGUUCUG
Molecule: unclassified non-coding RNA, 212 nt
Filed under: plant metagenome
Description: partial contains small subunit ribosomal RNA, internal transcribed spacer 1, and 5.8S ribosomal RNA
Source: RNAcentral